AGUGAACGCUGGCGGUAGGCCUAACACAUGCAAGUCGAACGGCAGCACAGUAAGAGCUUGCCCUUACGGGUGGCGAGUGGCGGACGGGUGAGGAAUACAUCGGAAUCUACUUUUUCGUGGGGGAUAACGUAGGGAAACUUACGCUAAUACCGCAUACGACCUACGGGUGAAAGCAGGGGAUCUUCGGACCUUGCGCGAUUGAAUGAGCCGAUGUCGGAUUAGCUAGUUGGCGGGGUAAAGGCCCACCAAGGCGACGAUCCGUAGCUGGUCUGAGAGGAUGAUCAGCCACACUGGAACUGAGACACGGUCCAGACUCCUACGGGAGGCAGCGGUGGGGAAUAUUGGACAAUGGGCGCAAGCCUGAUCCAGCCAUACCGCGUGGGUGAAGAAGGCCUUCGGGUUGUAAAGCCCUUUUGUUGGGAAAGAAAAGCAGCAGGUUAAUACCCCGCUGUUCUGACGGUACCCAAAGAAUAAGCACCGGCUAACUUCGUG
Molecule: ribosomal RNA, 492 nt
Filed under: uncultured bacterium
Lineage: Bacteria
Description: partial 16S ribosomal RNA
Rfam family: Bacterial small subunit ribosomal RNA
Source: RNAcentral